GUGGGGAAUAUUGGACAAUGGGCGAAAGCCUGAUCCAGCCAUGCCGCGUGUGUGAAGAAGGUCUUCGGAUUGUAAAGCACUUUAAGUUGGGAGGAAGGGCAGUAAGUUAAUACCUUGCUGUUUUGACGUUACCGACAGAAUAAGCACCGGCUAACUUCGUGCCAGCAGCCGCGGUAAUACGAAGGGUGCAAGCGUUAAUCGGAAUUACUGGGCGUAAAGCGCGCGUAGGUGGUUCAGUAAGUUGGAAGUGAAAUCCCCGGGCUCAACCUGGGAACUGCUCUCAAAACUGCUGAGCUAGAGUACGGUAGAGGGUGGUGGAAUUGCCUGUGUAGCGGUGAAAUGCGUAGAUAUAGGAAGGAACACCAGUGGCGAAGGCGACCACCUGGACUGAUACUGACACUGAGGUGCGAAAGCGUGGGGAGCAAACAGGAUUAGAAACCCUAGUAGUCC
Molecule: ribosomal RNA, 450 nt
Filed under: uncultured bacterium
Lineage: Bacteria
Description: partial 16S ribosomal RNA
Rfam family: Bacterial small subunit ribosomal RNA
Source: RNAcentral